UAAAGGUAUUCCGGUAGACGAUGGGGAUGCGUUCCAUUAGAUAGUAGGCGGGGUAACGGCCCACCUAGUCUUCGAUGGAUAGGGGUUCUGAGAGGAAGGUCCCCCACAUUGGAACUGAGACACGGUCCAAACUCCUACGGGAGGCAGCAGUGAGGAAUAUUGGUCAAUGGGCGCAGGCCUGAACCAGCCAAGUAGCGUGAAGGAUGACUGCCCUAUGGGUUGUAAACUUCUUUUAUAAAGGAAUAAAGUCGGGUAUGGAUACCCGUUUGCAUGUACUUUAUGAAUAAGGAUCGGCUAACUCCGUGCCAGCAGCCGCGGUAAUACGGAGGAUCCGAGCGUUAUCCGGAUUUAUUGGGUUUAAAGGGAGCGCAGAUGGAUGUUUAAGUCAGUUGUGAAAGUUUGCGGCUCAACCGUAAAAUUGCAGUUGAUACUGGAUAUCUUGAGUGCAGUUGAGGCAGGCGGAAUUCGUGGUGUAGCGGUGAAAUGCUUAGAUAUCACGAAGAACUCCGAUUGCGAAGGCAGCCUGCUAAGCUGCAACUGACAUUGAGGCUCGAAAGUGUGGGUAUCAAACAGGAUUAGAUACCCUGGUAGUCCACACGGUAAACGAUGAAUACUCGCUGUUUGCGAUAUACGGCAAGCGGCCA
Molecule: ribosomal RNA, 644 nt
Filed under: uncultured bacterium
Lineage: Bacteria
Description: bacterial SSU rRNA
Rfam family: Bacterial small subunit ribosomal RNA
Source: RNAcentral